GGCAGUAACUGCUCAUUUGGUCAAAAAUGAGUUCAUGUCAUUUUUGUUAGAUUAAAUGCAUGCUUAAUCAUGUGGACAAGUAUCCUGCCUCUAUUGUAUUGUGUUUUGGAGAAAAUGGGGUUUACCUUUGUAUCAUAUCAUUUUAUUCUGUGAUGCAAUCGAACCUGUAUGACACUGACUGACACCUACACACACAUACCUUGCUAAUCUAGGGAUACAACUCCAUGGAACAGCAUUCCCGGGGGUUAAAUGAUGGUUGAACUUGCUCUGAAACGCCGACAUCCAGACAGACACUGUUGAGUUUGAGGGCCACAUUCCAACAAAGAUUCCUGAUCUACCCCCUUUAACUGAAGUCACAGUGUCAACACUACUUGAAGAAAUAGAGAACCAGUGGGUGGUCUCUGACAGACUUAUUGUUAGCUAGGAGGAAGACAUGGAGGGUUCAACGCUGACACAGAGGAGGGCUGAGUGUCA
Oncorhynchus mykiss (rainbow trout) is the source of this 474-nucleotide non-coding RNA. NCBI's taxonomy places the organism in Eukaryota, Metazoa, Chordata, Actinopteri, Salmoniformes, Salmonidae. The record is from RefSeq and is a predicted model, not a curated record.